UUCAAAGAGUGGGGCUCAACCCCAUAGGGGGAGUGGAAACUGUUUAGCUAGAGUAUGGUAGGGGCAGAGGGAAUUCCCAGUGUAGCGGUGAAAUGCGUAGAUAUUGGGAAGAACACCAGUGGCGAAGGCGCUCUGCUGGACCGAGACUGACGCUGAGGGACGAAAGCUAGGGGAGCGAAAGGGAUUAGAUACCCCUGUAGUCCUAGCUGUAAACGAUGGACACUAGGUGUUGCGCGUAUCGACCCGUGCAGUGCCGUAGCUAACGCGUUAAGUGUCCCGCCUGGGGAGUACGCACGCAAGUGUGAAACUCAAAGGAAUUGACGGGGGCCCGCACAAGCGGUGGAGUAUGUGGUUUAAUUCGAUGCAACGCGAAGAACCUUACCAGGGUUUGACAUCCCUCGAAUCUCUGCGAAAAGUGGAGAGUGCCUUCCNGNANCGAAGAAACAGGUGGGGCAUGGCUGUCGUCAGCUCGUGUCGU
RNAcentral lists this ribosomal RNA (478 nucleotides) under uncultured bacterium. RNAcentral describes it as "bacterial SSU rRNA". It matches the Rfam family "Bacterial small subunit ribosomal RNA", at positions 594 to 1068 of the family's 1533-position model. The record is from RNAcentral.